This is a long non-coding RNA of Haemorhous mexicanus (house finch), 1018 nucleotides long. RefSeq lists it as uncharacterized. The record is from RefSeq and is a predicted model, not a curated record. NCBI's taxonomy places the organism in Eukaryota, Metazoa, Chordata, Aves, Passeriformes, Fringillidae. The transcript has 2 exons.
UCAUUCUGUGAUGUGGUUGUUUUGAUUUGAUUUUCCAAUCUAGUAGCGCUUGCACGUACAGAACUGGUCAGACUCGCUCUGGAAGAUAUUAUUUUAACGUUUAAAAAUGUACUUUCGUUCCAAGCAGGAACAAAGUCCCCAAAUUUUGACAUUUCACAUGAAAGCAGCAAGUUGAAACAUUAUUAGUUGGGAUGGAGGGAAGCGGUUUGCUUAGCUAAGAUUACGAAUGUCGUUGUUUGGGGCUUUAUUAUGAUUAUUAUUCGCACGUGUUCUCAGACUUUUCGGUCAGGUAGGUAAAUGGGGAGGAAAGCGGUUUCGAAAGGGAAGGCGGGAGGUUGCCACCAUGACAAGAGAAACGGAGCGGCCCCGCCGGAGCUCAGCGUGGACACGCAUAAAACGGAGCUGCUCCCGAAAAAUGCUUCCAAGAGAACAUAUUCAUUUUGAUUUGUGGAAAACAUUUCACUGGAAGAUUGUGACUUGUUCUGAUGGUUUCUUUUAUUUCCUGGACAGAGAAAUCCAGCAGAAGAGUGUCCUGAAAGCCUUCCCCAGCGCCCAGACAGGAACGGACAGUGAUCCUCACGGCUCCGGCACGGGAGACGCGGCGGCGGGAAGGGCUCUGGUCUCCCACCGUGGCCGCGGGCGACGGCGGCUCCCACCCCCCCCCCCCCCCCCCCCCGCCUCCCUGUUCCUCUCGACGGGGCGGCGGGAACCAGAGUGGGGGCCUUUCCUUCUGGCCUUGUUGUCUCGAAACGGGUUCUUUCACUAGGUGUGAAAGCCGAUUCGCACACAGAGUUGAGGUACUUGAUUUAUCUACAGUUAUGCGCAGAAAGGGGUCCUGCAAUUAAAAAUAAUACAUAAUAUUCCUCACCCCAAGCGGUGAGUGGAACACGGCCACGCUGCUUUGUAGCAAAGGCACUGAGGUGCCCGUUGAUAAAACCGUCAGAAUUAGGCCAUUUUAGUCACCGACUCUCAAAACCUUUAAAACGGCCGAGGAGCAAUAAAAGUAAUCCCUAACGCA